Molecule: small RNA, 25 nt
Filed under: Saccharolobus solfataricus
Lineage: Archaea; Thermoproteati; Thermoproteota; Thermoprotei; Sulfolobales; Sulfolobaceae
Source: RNAcentral
GAACGACCCUUAGUGUGGAGCUCUG